RNAcentral lists this long non-coding RNA (188 nucleotides) under dengue virus type 2. RNAcentral's name for it is "Dengue virus 2 partial sfRNA1". Lineage: Riboviria; Orthornavirae; Kitrinoviricota; Flasuviricetes; Amarillovirales; Flaviviridae. The record is from RNAcentral.
UAGAAGUCAGGUCGGAUUAAGCCAUAGUACGGAAAAAACUAUGCUACCUGUGAGCCCCGUCCAAGGACGUUAAAAGAAGUCAGGCCAUCAUAAAUGCCAUAGCUUGAGUAAACUAUGCCGCCUGUAGCUCCACCUGAGAAGGUGUAAAAAAUCUGGGAGGCCACAAACCAUGGAAGCUGUACGCAUGG